This is a long non-coding RNA of Canis lupus familiaris (dog), 715 nucleotides long. RefSeq lists it as uncharacterized. The transcript is spliced from 2 exons. The record is from RefSeq and is a predicted model, not a curated record. NCBI's taxonomy places the organism in Eukaryota, Metazoa, Chordata, Mammalia, Carnivora, Canidae.
CCGAGACCACCCGCGUCCCCACCUGGCUCUCGGGGCACAGCCGCCCCACACCGGGCGCCCGGGACGUCGGGGACUUGGUUCCCCCGCGCCCGGGGCCCGGGAUUCCGAGUGCGCCCCGGAGCCGCCCCCGCUCCAGUUAGGGCACCAGAUCUCUUUUGAUUGAAGGCGCCAUAGAAUGAGUAAGUGAAGGAAGAAAGAGACCCUUGGUGUCUGUGCCAGAACAGCUCACAGCCUGCGUCUGAGCUACAAGGAAGAAGAGGCAAGAAGCUCACAAGAUCUGUUCCAAGCAAGCUGUGCCUCCCACCAGGAUUUUAAGCUGCUAUACACCUGGUCCACUGUGAUGAGGAUCAAGAGGAGAGAGAUUUGCAGCCCUCUCCACACCUCCUGUUCUGAUAACUUGAGCUCCUGAUUUUCACAAAGCAAUCCACAUUAUCUCAUUUAAAUCCUCUUGUAUGGAAAAGACAGCAAAGGUUAUUAUCCUUAUCCACACCAAUGGCUCUUAUUUGUACCAAGUCCUGUAGUUUAUGAAGGAUUCGUACAUACAGACUAUCUCAGAGUUCCCAAUUGUCCAAUAAGAGAGAACCCUGGAAAAUGUUCUGAAAAUUUGGACUCCUAGGCUCCCAUAGUUUAAGAAAUAGCAGUUGGCAGGUGUAUCUGGCCUGCAGAAGUGUUUUAUUUGGUGGAGUUUAGAAAAAAAUAAAUGAAAUCAAUAUGG